This 230-nucleotide ribosomal RNA is filed under the name uncultured bacterium. RNAcentral describes it as "partial 16S ribosomal RNA". It matches the Rfam family "Bacterial small subunit ribosomal RNA", at positions 30 to 267 of the family's 1533-position model. The record is from RNAcentral.
UUGAACGCUGGCGGCAUGCCUUACACAUGCAAGUCGAGCGGUAGAGGGGCAACCCUUGAGAGUGGCGAACGGGUGAGUAAUAUAUCGGAACGUGCCCAGUCGUGGGGGAUAACGCAGCGAAAGCUGCGCUAAUACCGCAUACGAUCUAUGGAUGAAAGCGGGGGAUCGCAAGACCUCGCGCGAUUGGAGCGGCCGAUAUCAGAUUAGGUAGUUGGUGGGGUAAAAGCCCA